Molecule: microRNA precursor, 94 nt
Filed under: Canis lupus familiaris (dog)
Lineage: Eukaryota; Metazoa; Chordata; Mammalia; Carnivora; Canidae
Also listed under: 1 other name
Description: mir-8799 microRNA precursor family
Rfam family: mir-8799 microRNA precursor family
Source: Rfam by way of RNAcentral
AGGGGCAGCGCGGAUCUUGGGCUGUGUCCCCCAGCGCCCUGGGAUCUGGGGCCUGCACCGCUGGAAUCGUGCUCCCAGGGCUGCGCCACCGCCU